Molecule: long non-coding RNA, 263 nt
Filed under: Musa acuminata (dwarf banana)
Lineage: Eukaryota; Viridiplantae; Streptophyta; Magnoliopsida; Zingiberales; Musaceae
Description: long non-coding RNA (MACU_LNC008919)
Source: RNAcentral
UUAUUUGGAAUUUCAGAAUGUUAAGUCUAAUUUAUGAUGAUAUGAACUGGUGGUGAAUAGUUGGAGUUCUGAUUGUAUAAUUUAUUUAGCUUGUGGAUUUAUAAAUGUUAUUCAUGUUUGUCAAGUUGGCUUGGGUUGCCAUAAAUGUGAAUUAUCGAGUGAUGUGAUAUAUGAUUAUAAACUGCACAGGUUUUAUAGAUGUGAAUUUGAUAGAAUGUUUUUCAAUGUCCUCAAAUGUGUGUUUGGAUCCUGGAUUGGUUUGU